ACGCUGGCGGCGUGCGUAACAAUGCAAGUCGGACGGGGCAGGAGAUCCGUAAGGGUUCCCUGUCGAGUGGCGGACGGGUGCGUAACACGUGGAUGACCUACCGCGCGAUGGGGGAUACCCCUCAGAAAUGGGGGCUAAGACUGCAUGCGCUCACCUGGGUGCGAGCCGAGGUGAGGAAAGCUGUGGAGGGGGGCAACUCUCCUGCAGCGUCGGGCGAGGGGUCCGCGGCCGAUUAGCUAGUUGGCGGAGUAAAGGCCCACCAAGGCGACGAUCGGUAGCUGGUCUGAGAGGAUGAUCAGCCACACUGGGAUUGAGAACGGCCCAGACUCCUACGGGGGGCAGCAGUGAGGAAUCUUCGGCAAUGGGGGCAACCCUGACCGAGCAACGCCGCGUGGAGGACGACGGCCUUCGGGUUGUAAACUCCUUUUCUGGGGAACGAGGUAUACGGACGGUACCCCAGGAAGAAGCCUCGGCUAACUACGUGCCAGCAGCCGCGGUAAUA
This 502-nucleotide ribosomal RNA is filed under the name uncultured bacterium. RNAcentral describes it as "bacterial SSU rRNA". It matches the Rfam family "Bacterial small subunit ribosomal RNA", at positions 33 to 525 of the family's 1533-position model. The record is from RNAcentral.